RNAcentral lists this ribosomal RNA (483 nucleotides) under uncultured bacterium. RNAcentral's name for it is "partial 16S ribosomal RNA". It matches the Rfam family "Bacterial small subunit ribosomal RNA", at positions 28 to 523 of the family's 1533-position model. The record is from RNAcentral.
GACGAACGCUGGCGGCGUGCUUAACACAUGCAAGUCGAACGAUGAAGCCCAGCUUGCUGGGUGGAAGAGUGGCGAACGGGUGAGUAACACGUGAGUAACCUGCCCGUGACUCUGGGAUAAGCGCUAGAAAUGGCGGCUAAUACUGGAUAUGACCUAUUACCGCAUGGUGUGUAGGUGGUAAGAUUUAUCGGUUGGGGAUGGACUCGCGGCCUAUCAGCUUGUUGGUGUGGUAAUGGCACACCAAGGCGAAGACGGGUAGCCGGCCUGAGAGGGUGACCGGCCACACUGGGACUGAGACACGGCCCAGACUCCUACGGGAGGCAGCAGUGGGGAAUAUUGCACAAUGGGCGCAAGCCUGAUGCAGCAACGCCGCGUGAGGGAUGACGGCCUUCGGGUUGUAAACCUCUUUUAGUAGGGAAGAAGCGCAAGUGACGGUACCUGCAGAAAAAGCACCGGCUAACUACGUGCCAGCCGCCGCGGUAA